AACAUGGCCUGUCCUCAGCCAGCUGGAGGCAGGACUCAUGGACCCGAAACAUGGCCUCAGCUAUAAUACUCCGCGCGCACUUCGCUGGGAAUCACUUCCUGGACUUCUGGUGUGGAUAAUGGCAGCUGUUGGUUCUGCCUCUGGAAAUGGACAGCUCUUUCCCACAAAUUGCUUAUCAUGUAACCACAGUACUCCAGCUAUGCAGAAAGGCCUUGUGUGGUCUGUGACCAACCCCACUCCGUGAGCCCCGUCAUCACAGGACUUGAGACAGCAACAACACUUAGAAGAUGGCCAGUAUAUCCUGCUGAUGCAUAGAGGUUCAUGUCUGUCCUGCCCUGAUGCUAAUGAUAAUUAAGAACUAUUUUGUGCUUUACAGUACCUUCUCUCAUCAACUGUAGCAUCUAACCCUUUCCAAAAGAAAGCUGAGGAAUACACUUAUGUCGUGUCCUACAGAUAUAUCUUCAGCUCAAUAAAUUAGCCAA
This is a long non-coding RNA of Apodemus sylvaticus (European woodmouse), 482 nucleotides long. RefSeq lists it as uncharacterized. Lineage: Eukaryota; Metazoa; Chordata; Mammalia; Rodentia; Muridae. The record is from RefSeq and is a predicted model, not a curated record. The transcript has 3 exons.